UACGUAGGGGACAAGCGUUAUCCGGAUUUACUGGGUGUAAAGGGAGCGCAGACGGAACUGCAAGUCUGAUGUGAAAGCCCGGGGCUCAACCGCGGGACUGCAUUGGAAACUGUAGAUCUGGAGUGCCGGAGGGGCAAGAGGAAUUCCUGGUGUAGCGGUGAAAUGCGUAGAUAUCAGGAGGAACACCGGCGGCGAAGGCGGCUUGCUGGACGGCAACUGACGUUGAGGCUCGAAAGCGUGGGGAGCAAACAGGAUUAGAUACCCCCGUAGUCCCU
This 275-nucleotide ribosomal RNA is filed under the name uncultured prokaryote. RNAcentral's name for it is "partial 16S ribosomal RNA". It matches the Rfam family "Bacterial small subunit ribosomal RNA", at positions 524 to 798 of the family's 1533-position model. The record is from RNAcentral.